AGCGAACGCUGGCGGCAGGCCUGACACAUGCAAGUCGAACGAACUCUUCGGAGUUAGUGGCGGACGGGUGAGUAACACGUGGGAACGUGCCUUUUGGUUCGGAAUAACUCAGGGAAACUUGUGCUAAUACCGAAUGUGCCCUUCGGGGGAAAGAUUUAUCGCCAUUAGAGCGGCCCGCGUCUGAUUAGCUAGUUGGUGAGGUAACGGCUCACCAAGGCGACGAUCAGUAGCUGGUCUGAGAGGAUGACCAGCCACACUGGGACUGAGACACGGCCCAGACUCCUACGGGAGGCAGCAGUGGGGAAUCUUGCGCAAUGGGCGAAAGCCUGACGCAGCCAUGCCGCGUGAAUGAUGAAGGUCUUAGGAUUGUAAAAUUCUUUCACCGGGGACGACAAUGACGGUACCCGGAGAAGAAGCCCCGGCUAACUUCGUG
RNAcentral lists this ribosomal RNA (433 nucleotides) under uncultured bacterium. RNAcentral's name for it is "partial 16S ribosomal RNA". It matches the Rfam family "Bacterial small subunit ribosomal RNA", at positions 29 to 507 of the family's 1533-position model. The record is from RNAcentral.